AUUGAACGCUGGCGGCAUGCUUUACACAUGCAAGUCGAACGGCAGCGCGGGCUUCGGCCUGGCGGCGAGUGGCGAACGGGUGAGUAAUACAUCGGAACGUGCCCAGUAGUGGGGGAUAGCUCGGCGAAAGCCGGAUUAAUACCGCAUACGACCUGAGGGUGAAAGCGGGGGAUCUUCGGACCUCGCGCUAUUGGAGCGGCCGAUGGCAGAUUAGCUAGUUGGUGGGGUAAAGGCCUACCAAGGCGACGAUCUGUAGCUGGUCUGAGAGGACGACCAGCCACACUGGGACUGAGACACGGCCCAGACUCCUACGGGAGGCAGCAGUGGGGAAUUUUGGACAAUGGGCGAAAGCCUGAUCCAGCAAUGCCGCGUGUGUGAUGAAGGCCUUCGGGUUGUAAAGCACUUUUGGCGGGAACGAAAAGGACUGUGCCAAUACCACGGUUCGAUGACGGUACCCGCAGUAUAAGCACCGGCUAACUACGUG
This 484-nucleotide ribosomal RNA is filed under the name uncultured bacterium. RNAcentral's name for it is "partial 16S ribosomal RNA". It matches the Rfam family "Bacterial small subunit ribosomal RNA", at positions 29 to 507 of the family's 1533-position model. The record is from RNAcentral.